UACGGAGGGGGCUAGCGUUGUUCGGAAUUACUGGGCGUAAAGCGCACGUAGGCGGCUUUGUAAGUUAGAGGUGAAAGCCCGGGGCUCAACUCCGGAAUUGCCUUUAAGACUGCAUCGCUAGAAUUGUGGAGAGGUAAGUGGAAUUCCGAGUGUAGAGGUGAAAUUCGUAGAUAUUCGGAAGAACACCAGUGGCGAAGGCGACUCACUGGACAUGUAUUGACGCUGAGGUACGAAAGCGUGGGGAGCAAACAGG
RNAcentral lists this ribosomal RNA (253 nucleotides) under uncultured bacterium. Its description in RNAcentral is "partial 16S ribosomal RNA". It matches the Rfam family "Bacterial small subunit ribosomal RNA", at positions 524 to 776 of the family's 1533-position model. The record is from RNAcentral.